CGUGUAGGCGGACUCGCAAGUCGGUUGUGAAAUCCCUGGGCUUAACCUAGGAACUGCAUCCGAAACUGCUUGUCUUGAGUAAUGGAGAGGGUGGCGGAAUUCCCGGUGUAGAGGUGAAAUUCGUAGAUAUCGGGAGGAACAUCAGUGGCGAAGGCGGCCACCUGGACAUUUACUGACGCUGAGACACGAAAGCGUGGGGAGCAAACAGGAUUAGAUACCCUGGUAGUCC
This 229-nucleotide ribosomal RNA is filed under the name uncultured bacterium. RNAcentral describes it as "partial 16S ribosomal RNA". It matches the Rfam family "Bacterial small subunit ribosomal RNA", at positions 568 to 796 of the family's 1533-position model. The record is from RNAcentral.